GGAACCUGCGGAAGGAUCAUUAGUGAAUUAAACAUGCUUGGUGUCUUCGCUUCGGCAAGGCCCUUGCUUAACUCACAUCCCAACACCUGUGAACUGUAAGGCGCAUGACUAGGUUCGCCCAAGUCAUCGUCUGCCCUUUUUAACAAACAAUUAAUGUAACAAACGUAGUCUUAUUAUAACCUAAUAAAACUUUCAACAACGGAUCUCUUGGCUCUCGCAUCGAUGAAGAACGCAGCGAAAUGCGAUAAGUAAUGUGAAUUGCAGAAUUCAGUGAAUCAUCGAAUCUUUGAACGCACCUUGCGCUCUUUGGUAUUCCGAAGAGCAUGCCUGUUUGAGUGUCAUGAAAAUAUCAACCUUGACUUGGGUUUUGUGCUCUAGUCUCGGCUUGGAAUUGGGUGCUUGCCGCUUUUACGAGCGGCUCACCUUAAAUGUAUUAGCUGGAUCUGUCUUUGAGACUUGGUUUGACUUGGCGUAAUAAGUAUUUCGCUAAGGACAUUCUUCGGAGUGGCCUCGUUUCUAGGACGCUUGUCCGCUUUCCAAUACAAGUUCCACCUCGUGGACAUGACUUUUUAUUAUCUGGCCUCAAAUCAGGUAGGACUACCCGCUGAACUUAAGCAUAUCAAUAAGCGGAAGGAAAAGG
RNAcentral lists this ribosomal RNA (640 nucleotides) under Solicoccozyma aeria. RNAcentral describes it as "eukaryotic LSU rRNA". The stretch from base 188 to 341 matches the Rfam family "5.8S ribosomal RNA". The record is from RNAcentral. Lineage: Eukaryota; Fungi; Basidiomycota; Tremellomycetes; Filobasidiales; Piskurozymaceae.